This 1465-nucleotide long non-coding RNA is filed under the name Gallus gallus (chicken). RNAcentral's name for it is "lncRNA (ENSGALG00010024237.1)". Lineage: Eukaryota; Metazoa; Chordata; Aves; Galliformes; Phasianidae. The record is from RNAcentral.
UCAGAUAGUGCUCUCUCUACAGUGCCUUAAAUGAAAGAUAUUUCCUUUGUGGUUAUGGAGCUGUUAAGAUGAGCAGUUAAUAAAUAAAAAAGCAGACUCGUUUUUAGGUUAUUGCUUUCACAUUAUAAUUGAGUUUUUUUUUUCUCACUUUCUCCUUGUUCCCCCCAUCAUAUUGAAUGUAUAACAAAGGACAUUGGACAGGAUUCCUAGUCUGCUUGUGCUUCUGGAGGGUUACUAUCAAACUGGCAAAAAAGAAAAAAAUAUCCAUUUAGAAGACUGAAUGAGAAAAUCAAGAGCCUGAAGUUCAUUGUUUUUGAACAAAAAUUUGUGGAAUGCCUGCCAAUUUCAUUUAGGUGAAGGAUAAUUCUUUGUGAAAUUAUAUUUCAGAAUAUAACUAACCACAUUUCUAUAGAAUCUAAGGGAACAAAGCUCAUACACUAGUCUACUCAAGAUACUGCUUCAUAACUUAAUAUUCUGCUGAUGCCUUAAUUAUUUAAUUGGAAGUUCUCAUUAAAUCUUUGAAGAUAGGAAAUAUUUUUAAUGUUUUUUUUUAAAUCAUUCUAAAUGUCAAGAAAAAGAGUGAGCUUUGUGAAUUUUCUAUCAAUAGUAGCCGAAUCACUGAAGUUCAAUAUAGAUUUUUCUCAAAAAAGAAAUCCUAAAAAGCACAUUGUACAGUAUUAAUUUUACUUUCACAGUCAAAUUAAUGUCAAGAUAAUUUUUCAUAUCUAAUAUUCCUUCCAAGGUUAGUAUUUAAAGCACAGUAUAUUAUAACAGCUUCUUUUAAAACAUUACAGGGAUGAGCCAUUUCAGCUAUUUUUAAUCUUUUCACACAGAACUUUAUCUGAGAAAGAUUAUUAACACGACAAUCUUUGCUGUAAAAUUAAGGAAUUAAAAGCAAGUUCUUAAUAAUACAAAGUUCGCAUAAGCUACCUAAAAAAAAAAAAAAAAACUUCAAAAAUUCUCAAUGAUAUCAAUAAUAAUAUAAAAUUGUACAUGUUGCUGAAAUGUAGUUUUGAAUGUUUUUUAUAAAAUUUGACGCAUUCCUUUUGCUGUCAACAUCAAUUUUCAAUUUCCAUACUACAGAAAAAAAGUUUAGAGAGCAUGAGUAAACUAAAAAAGCAAAUGUGAAAUUAAAAAAAUAAUGUAAACAAAAUUAAGCUCAUUAGGAAUUAAUUCUUCUGCUACCUUUCCAGUACAUCAACUUGACUACAAGAGAUGUUAACACUUUACAGAUAUUUAAUGUUUAGGAUGUGGAUUUUAUUCCUACACACUUUCUCCUUCAUUUUUAGAGACCCUUAGAGUACUAGGCUUGUAUUUUUAUUUGAGCAACACAAUCAUCAAGCUCAUCAAUCUUCUGAAGAAAUCCAGUUGUCAUUACAAAGCAAGAAGAACUCAGUAGAAGACAAGUUUGACUCUAUACAAGUACAGAAGAGCCUAGGACGUAAAAAUCAAGAUGUAAACAAAU